RNAcentral lists this transfer RNA (41 nucleotides) under Veronica triloba. RNAcentral describes it as "partial tRNA-Leu". The record is from RNAcentral. Lineage: Eukaryota; Viridiplantae; Streptophyta; Magnoliopsida; Lamiales; Plantaginaceae.
UUUAUCUUUCGAUUAAAAUGUAUUGGGGCGUAAAUAAUUUU